CCUACGGGUGGCAGCAGUGAGGAAUAUUGGUCAAUGGGCGGGAGCCUGAACCAGCCAAGUCGCGUGAGGGAAGACGGUCCUAUGGAUUGUAAACCUCUUUAGGCGGGGAGCAAUGCCGGGCACGCGUGCCCGGAGGGAGAGUACCCGCAGAAUAAGCAUCGGCUAACUCCGUGCCUGCAGCCGCGGUAAUACGGGGGAUGCGAGCGUUAUCCGGAUUUAUUGGGUUUAAAGGGUGCGUAGGCGGAUGUUUAAGUCAGCGGGAAAAUGUCGGGGCUCAACCCGGGCCGGCCGUUGAAACUGGGGAGCUGGAGUGGGCGAGAGGUAUGCGGAAUGCGUGGUGUAGCGGUGAAAUGCGUAGAUAUCACGAAGAACUCCGGUUGCGAAGGCAGCAUACCGGCGCCCGACUGACGCUGAGGCACGAAAGCGUGGGGAUCAAACAGGAUUAGAUACCCGAGUAGUC
This 460-nucleotide ribosomal RNA is filed under the name uncultured bacterium. Its description in RNAcentral is "partial 16S ribosomal RNA". It matches the Rfam family "Bacterial small subunit ribosomal RNA", at positions 338 to 795 of the family's 1533-position model. The record is from RNAcentral.